CUCAGGUCAGCCAAAUCCCUCCCUCAGCUCUGCCAGCCAACAACACUGUGUUCCUGAGAGAGACGAGAACCUCUUACUAUUGAAAUAUAUGGGAGCACUUAGGACGAAUAAACAUUAAGAUAAGAUUUUUUCCAACCCCGGCAAGGACCUCACACCUGUGUAUGGAGAUGGUGCCGCCUCCGCAGUGCAUUGACAUGCAAACCAGAUCCCACUGGAGACAUGGAGAGAAGUAUCAAACCGAGGACUGACUGAUGAAUGACUAAGGUGCAAGCGAACCUCUGCAUUAACUCCUAAACACCGUAGCAUUAAGUAGAAAGCUGUCAAGGAGCAGUUUGGAAGAGGAAAGAAACAGCUAAAGAGGGAUAAUUAUAGAAUCUUGUGGCCCGACUCCAGAGAAAACAGGAUUUUGUUUGUCUUCUGUGCCCCUUUGAGAGGAAGGCAUUCGGGAUGUUUGGAAUAGGUCGGCGGACAGUGGGUUUUUAAACUCUCCUGCCUAAUCAAGUCGGAAAAGAUCAAAUACUCGGGACAGAAGGACAGCCUGCUCCUCGCCCACCAUUCCUCUGCAUAUCAAACACAGGAAGAGCACAAGAAGAAGAAAAUGUCAGGGGGCCAGAGACUCGUUUGAACCUAACUUCUGUAAUUAUCAAGGCUAAUUUAAGUUGCUUUUUUCCAGCGAUUGCCAGAAUGUAAAAUCAGAGUUUAGUGAGGCAAGAGAAAUGUUGAACUGAAUGUUACUUGUGUUGAUUUUCGUUCCUCAGAAAAUAGUCACAACUGAAAAUAAUAAUUAGAGCGAUGAUUAAUAAAUAUGAAUAAACUAAUUUA
Ctenopharyngodon idella (grass carp) is the source of this 822-nucleotide long non-coding RNA. RefSeq lists it as uncharacterized. The record is from RefSeq and is a predicted model, not a curated record. NCBI's taxonomy places the organism in Eukaryota, Metazoa, Chordata, Actinopteri, Cypriniformes, Xenocyprididae. The transcript has 3 exons.